Long non-coding RNA from Acanthochromis polyacanthus (spiny chromis), 462 nucleotides. RefSeq lists it as uncharacterized. The record is from RefSeq and is a predicted model, not a curated record. The transcript has 2 exons. NCBI's taxonomy places the organism in Eukaryota, Metazoa, Chordata, Actinopteri, Pomacentridae.
UAUAUGUCUGCAUCAUGGAUCCACAUGGAGAAGAAUUGAACAGAGGAAGAGAAACAUCUGAAUGAGAGACUUGAUAAAGAUGGAAAAAGAUCCAAGAAGAUCAGUGAGCAACUAAAAACCAGUGAAUCACAGAGUCAGCAGGAAUCAGGAGGUCUAGAAGGAGUCAUAGUUCCACUAAUCAGGAGGUCUAGAAGGAGUCAUAGCACCACUAAUCAGGAGGUCUAGAAGGAGUCAUAGUUCCACUAAUCAGGAGGUCUAGAAGGAGUCAUAGUUCCACUAAUCAGGAGGUCUAGAAGGAGUCAUAGUUCCACUAAUCAGGAGGUCUAGAAGGAGUCAUAGUUCCACUAAUCAGGAGGUCUAGAAGGAGUCAUAGUACCACUAAUCAGGAGGUCUAGAAGGAGUCAUAGUUCCACUAAUCAGAGCUCCUAAAAUGACUCCACAGACAGUGAACUACUUUCUCCA